This 1510-nucleotide long non-coding RNA is filed under the name Suricata suricatta (meerkat). RNAcentral's name for it is "lncRNA (ENSSSUG00005022782.1)". The record is from RNAcentral. Lineage: Eukaryota; Metazoa; Chordata; Mammalia; Carnivora; Herpestidae.
GAUAACACAGCUAUGAAAACUGGCAAACGAAGAAUAAAGCCGGUGAGGCUGGGGGAGGUGGGGGAUGGGAGGGCACCAUAACCACUGGGCUGAGGACUGCAAACUUGGCCAUGUUGUGGCUUCUCUCUAGAUGAUGUGAAUUACAGCAGGCAGAGACACUCUUCUGUCCUCCAGGAAUUCACCUCGCCACCCAAGCAAAUCCUGCCUUCUGCCUGCUCUCUCUCCUACCUCAAUUUCCAUGAUAGGUCACAUGUAUAUUAAGCUGUGUCAAACAGGUCAUAAAUUUACAGCGUAAGGGCCCCAAUCCAGCCCUCAGACAUGCUUUGUUCAGCUAGUCUAGUGUUGUCGGUAUAGAAUUUCCCAAAAUUCCAAGUUAUUUGUCAGUGUUUGAAAAUUAGGAGAUUUCCCACCAAAGCUCAACUUCUUUAAGAAUACAAGGGUCAGACAAUACGGAGCCCAGGUUCUAACUCCAUAAUGUUUGGCUGGCGCUGAGCAGAGGCUGCCCCAUUGAUGAGCUGAACGUUGAGUCCUCCAAGCUCACUAGUUCUCACAGAGUCUAACACUUUCGUGUUACUUGCAGGAGUCUGCUGCCUUGCUUCAUAGACAUGAACUCAACUGACCCAACUCACCCAACAUCUCCAUGAAGACUGGGCGGUGAGUGUUCUUAGUAAGCCCGUUUACAAGUGAGGGCUCUGAAGUUCAGAGAGGUGAAAUGACUUGCAUAAGAUCCCAGGCCAGGGGCGCCUGGGUGACUCAGUCAGUUAAGCGUCCGACUUCAGCUCAGGUCAUGAUCUCACAGUUCAUGGGUUCGAGCCCCGCGUUGGGCUCUGUGCUGACAGCUCAGAGCCUGGAGCCUGCUUCAGAUUCUGUAUCUCUCUCUCUGACCCUCCCCUGCUCAUGCUGUCUCUGUCUCUCGAAAAUAAAUAAAAAACAUUAAAAAAAUUAAAAAAAAAAAGAUCCCAGACCAGUUUCUUUUGACUUUUCAUGUCCCCCUGGUGCGCACACAUGCACGCGCGCGCGCGCACACACACACACACACACACACACACACACACACACAUACACACGCAUGCGCACGCGCAAGGCUUCUGCUCUCACCACUAUCUCUUCCUGAAAGCAGGAAUCAGCACCACUGACCCUGGCCCUAGGAAAGAUGCCCUCACUCUGUCCUCUUACUUGGAUGCCACCAAAACAGCCUCUGGUCUGUCCAUGCGCAGGUUGGAGUGGUUCUGCAGACCCCAGCAGAGGACAGUAAAGCUCAGUGGGAAGAAAAUGCAACCCAGUACAAAGAGCAGGGGCAUGCCUGUGGGGGGCGGAGAAGGUGUUCACCUCUGAGGGAAAAGGUGGAAGCUGUGGAGGGAAGCUGGUGAUUCUCAUCAGCACCCAGAACUCAGAAAGAGGAAAGAGGGUGUUCAAAUCAUAAAGAUAUUUGAAUUUUAAAACUAACCUUUUUAAAAAAAUUUUUUAAUGUUUUAUUUAUUUUUGAUACAGAGACAGAGCAUGAGAGGGG